Molecule: non-coding RNA, 988 nt
Organism: Musa acuminata subsp. malaccensis (wild Malaysian banana)
Lineage: Eukaryota; Viridiplantae; Streptophyta; Magnoliopsida; Zingiberales; Musaceae
Source: RefSeq, a predicted model, not a curated record
CUCUCCCUUUUCCUCACCGUUGAGGCAGUUGGACCAUUCUCGGGUCGCUCAAAUUUGGGCAGACUCAUCGAUGGGAUGAGAUCAGAGGGGAAAAGCCUUGGCACGUCUGAGUUCCGGCUGCCCGUCUGAGCUUCUCUGUAGCCGCUUGCAGCCCCAGUAGCUUUCUCCAUGUCUGGUGCUCCCCAACAUCUCCGACAACCAACUGUUGCCAGACAACUGUUUGUGGUUUUGUCCAAGUGGGAAACAAAAAUAAAAACUUCUCAUUGUUUGAUGCUUGAGAUGUUGUUUUCAUCUGUGUCAGAUUUUAAAUUGUGUUGAGAUCAUUAUGCCACUUGAGAGACUUGAUAGAUUUGCAGCAUUCAAAAACCUAGGUGUACCCACUCUUUGCAGCAGAUGGUGUAGCUGUUGUUGUGCAAAACAUCUCCACCAACCCUCAAAGUUAGGAUCGUCAUUUCACUUACCUGAUACCAGAUGGAGAUUGUGAAUACAACAAUGAAGAGAAUCAAUACUGGCCAUGCCACUUGACUCAUGAGAAUAAUGAUGCACAGAAGCUGAAUAAGUGCAAAAACCAAUCCCGCCACUCUGUAUGGAAUAUCUGUGUCAACAGUACUCUGGUCUGUUGAAGACUGAAAAAGGGAGCAAUAAUAGGAGAAACAUUAGGUACUGACCCUGUUAAGAAUUCGGCUGGCAACCCAGUAGUUGCUGCCCAUCUGUAGACCCUGGAAGAGAACUUGACAGAACAGUAGUACUGGAAUAAAAGCCCCUUUAUAUGCUGAAGUCACAAAGCUAUUUGCUGAACAAGGUCUCCAUUGCUGUCCAUCAUCAGAUCUUCGUACUUACCAGAUUGAACCACCUUCCCAUCUUUCAAGACCUGAAAAAUGUUGGUGAAGGAAAUAAAUUUUAGUCUUCAUUAUCAGUGUGGGUGUUCUCGACAUGGAAUCAGCUUCCCAGGUGUACUCCCCCGGCUCGAUCUCUACUCCGAUGUCUG